RNAcentral lists this ribosomal RNA (100 nucleotides) under Vibrio parahaemolyticus. Its description in RNAcentral is "partial 16S ribosomal RNA". It matches the Rfam family "Bacterial small subunit ribosomal RNA", at positions 1 to 102 of the family's 1533-position model. The record is from RNAcentral. Lineage: Bacteria; Pseudomonadati; Pseudomonadota; Gammaproteobacteria; Vibrionales; Vibrionaceae.
AAAUUGAAGAGUUUGAUCAUGGCUCAGAUUGAACGCUGGCGGCAGGCCUAACACAUGCAAGUCGAGCGGAAACGAGUUAUCAGAACCUUCGGGGGACGAU